This 4720-nucleotide long non-coding RNA is filed under the name Sus scrofa (pig). RNAcentral describes it as "lncRNA (ENSSSCG00000063438.1)". The record is from RNAcentral. Lineage: Eukaryota; Metazoa; Chordata; Mammalia; Artiodactyla; Suidae.
AUUGGUGGGUUUGGUGGGGAGGUGUUUACAUGUCCAUAGUGAAUUAUUUUUUGUACUCAGUAAAAUGUAGGAUAAAUUCUGCAAAUACUAUACUUUAUAUUGCCAAAGGAGAAUACCUCCUUAAACAAGAAAUUUGGGGGCUGGUAUAAGAACUAGCUGUAUGAAAAGUGACAGGACUGGCUGUGUAAUUUGCCAUGCCCAGUGCAAAAUGAAAAUGUGGGAAACCUUACUAAAAAAUAAUUAAGAGGAGUUCCUGGGUAAUGAACCCGGCUAGUAUUCACGAGGAUUCAGGUUUGAUCCCUGGCCUUGCUCUGUAGGUUUAAGGAUCCGGUGUUACCGUGAGCUGUGGUGUAGGUUGCAGAUGCAACUUGAAUCCCAUGUUGCUGUGGCUGUGGCUGGCAGCUGCAGCUCCGAUUCAACCCCUAACCUGGGAACUUCAGUGUGCCACAAGUGUGGCCCUAAAAAGAAAAAAAAUUAAGAAUUUCAAGAUGACAACAGCAGAGGUUAAAGCAAGUGUGGGGCUCUUUUAAGCUUGAGGUGCUAUGCAGCUGCAUGGGUUGCACAGCAAUGAAGCUGACCCUGCCAGAUGCCUUAGAUGGAUUGUGAAAGCUGCUUACUCACUAUGUUGCCUGCUCAAUGAUAAAGUCCCAUGUGAUAAAUUCCUCUUUGAUCACAGCACCAGAAUAGCGUUUAUAUCAUCCAAAAUGACUUGUCAAAUUUGCCUUUGUAUGAAAGAGUUAACUGUUGUGAUCCAGUGGGCUUCCCCAGUCUGGUUUUUUUUCUGAUGUCAUUUCUUCUUUAUUAUUUGAUUUUGGUUUUGUAGCCAGUGUUAAUGGGUUUUGUCUUUUGUGUUUGAAGCCAUCACAAAUCUUCUCUUGGAAAUAGGUGAAAAGCAUAAAUAAACAAAACUCUUAAAAGUGGUUUUAAAAGUUAAUUUAAAAAGCCUGUCAUCAUCAGCGUAGUUUACUGGGUGCAAUAAUAACUCUAUUAAUGAAAUUAAUGUUUUCUAACAACAUAAUUAUUUGCUGGAAACUUCAUAACCUCAGGCAGAAAUAAUCUGGGAAGCAGAGGAUGCAUUUCAGAUAAGCAAGAGUAUACAUCAGCAAUUUUAAAUAGCAAUAAAAAUAUCAUAGUCUUAAGCAAAAGCUUAAGCAGUUAAGGUUAAAGGAGAUAAAGGUUGGAGUUUGGUGUAUAUUUUGGGAAGGAAAAUCCAUUGGGGUUAAGCUUAGAGGAAAGGGACCUGCUGGUAGACAGCCCUUUGCUGGGGUGAUGUAGGUUCAUUUCAAAUGUAACAUAUGCUCUUCUAUUCCCUAAAGUUUUCUGCAGCCUUAGCUAGGAUCUGUGAAGAGCAAGGAGCCAGUUAUGGAGACUGUGCUUUGGGCCUCUCUCCCCAAGUCAUCCCAUAUGAAUUAAACUGGAUUGUCCAUCAAGUAGAGUUGCUAGAUUCAGUUGUGCAAGGUUUUUCACUGCACAGAUCCACUGGGUAAUGGGCAAGUGACAUCUGAAUUCCUCCCUACUUUAUGAUGAUCAAGCUGUAUCUCUUCAUAUGGAACUGUGUCCUCUGUAAGAAGAGAAACAUAUGGGCUGGUGUUUAGGCCAGCCUGAGAAUCAGCUAAGUAGGCUUAGUAGAGAUCUAAGUAUUCAGGAGUCCUUUAAAGAAAGAAAAUGCCUUUUCUUACUAGGAAUAAAAAAUAUUUCCAAUUAGAGAACUCUAAUAAUAAUAUUUUUAGUUAAUUUCAGUCUGAGAGUCCUAGUUAAGGUAGAAUGGAAAGAGUAGUCAUUCUUCAUUGUUUUGCUAGGAUCCUGGUGUGUGAAGACCUAGAACCUUUCAGUGAGUUGGAGACCAGGGAAUGGGAGAAAUGGAUGCAGAAUGAAAUAGAUACAUUAGUUUUCACCACUUUGGCUUUGAUUUAGGCAUCAUCUUCCAAGGGUGUUUGUUAAUUAAACUAUUACUAGAUUGUGUUAAUUGAAAUACUACUUGAUUUGAGAAUAAUAGUCUCUGAGUUUUUCUUAUCCUUUAAGUAUCUAAGAAAUUAUAUUUGUAUUUCCUUGUUAAAACUAGUGAAACGAUGUAAAAUCAUAUAUGAACACAUGGAAAAAUACACAUGAUAAAUUAGAUAACAUUUUUGUAAUAGCAGAAUGAGAGCAAGUUAAUUUCCAUUGAAGAUAAAAUAAUGAGCACAUUUGCGAUUUGUGCUGCUUGCUCAUCAUAAUUAUGAGACAUGACAUUUAAGUGCAUAUGAAAUGAGACUUAGCCUGCACUUUCACAUUUAAAACACUAGUUAUCUUCUAGAUAGAAUCUUACACUUGCAUGGCUGUACUAGCUAGAGUGUUUUUCCUUCUUGAUACUUCUGGGCUGGACUCCCUUUCUACCAAAUAUGUCAAGUGCUUGCUGUGUACCGAGCAUGGUGCUGGAGGAUAUGCAAGCAGAAGCCCCCAGGGUUGCAGUAUAGUUAGGAAAUGUUAAGAUUAAAGCCUCUCUUCCUUUUUCCUCCCCCUGUCACUAUAGUCCCCUAUACUUUCUGAGAUGUCUUUCAACCACUCUUGCAAGCUUCUGCAUCGUAGGAAAACUAUAGGCUUUUCUCUUUGCUGUCUUUCUGUAAAAUUCUUCACCCAUUCCUCUAUGUGGAGCUAGUCACUUUGACCCUGUGUUUUCCAGGGCACUUCAUAUUUUACUUUUCUAUCAUAGUUAUUUCUAUUCAUGCCUUUAUUCGCCCUAGAUUUCAAGUUCCCUAAUAUCAUGGGUUCAAAUGAAUUCUCAACUCUGUCUUCUUCAUGAUGUUAGCAAAAUGCCUUUAUCAUAGUUGGUGCUCAAAAAUAGUUUACCAGAUAGGAGUUCCCUUCAUGGCACAGCGGAAACAAAUCCGACUAGGAACCAUCAGGUUGCAAGUUUGAUCCCUGGCCUCACUUAGUGGGUUAAAGAUCCGGCAUUGUUGUGAGCUAUUGUAUAGGUCAUAGAUGUGGCUUGGAUUCUGCAUUGCUGUGGCUGUGGCUGUGGCUGGCAGCUAUAGCUCCAGUUGGACCCCUAGCCUGGGAACCUCCAUAUGCCAUGGAUGCAGCCCUAAAAAGAAAAAAAAAAUUUACCAGAUGAAAUGGGAUUGGAUUAAAAUAAUAAUUUACCUGUUGACUAUUCAGGGACACACAUUGAUCAUUCAUAUGGUCUAGAGCCAAGUUGUAGUACUGUCAGCAUUUUUAAUUUGUAUUUAUUGUGCAGCAGAAAAUUUAAUGCCCAGCCUCCUAUUCCUGAACAAAUAGAGUAUUGUCAUCAUUUUCAUUUGCCUUUUCCAGUCUGGUAUAUUUGCAAACAUAAUUUCUAUGAAUCUCUGAACUCAUAGUAUACUCAGUUAUGAGUUCUGUACUCUUUCAGGUAUGUAGGAGACUAAGAUCUUAAACUGAAGAAAUGAGCAAUUUUGUCAAUAAAUAUAUGGCUUUUGAGAUUGUUGUGCCAAAGCAGCUUUUUAAUUCUGAAACAUGUCUAGUGGCUUCUUAUCAAGCUUCAGAAAGUACAUUCUUUCACAGAUUUGUAAUAACAGUGUCAUAAAUUAUGCCCACGUGUAUCAGGGGAUCACCUCAGACUGGGAUUUUUCUCCAGUGAAACAGCAGUGGCUAAUAAUUUGAGAUGAAAUUCUAAUUAUUUUAAUGAGAUUAUUUUGCUUCUUAGCAUGUCAAGCAAUUUGUUUUACACCUUUACUAAUUAUUUUUCAUUUUUGAAGACUUAAAUAGAGGAGACAUGACAGGGGUCCCGUUUCAUCUCUUGGACCAUUAAUUAUGCCAUGGUGGUUUCAGUACUGAUGAGACACCAAGACAAAUGAAUCUUGUUGGAUUUUAUUCUGUUUAACAGAUUUCAUUCUUCAAACAAGUUUUCUUAGAAAAUCAUUAAUCACUAAACUAUGGAUUAAAUAGUGACAAUAAUGGAAAUAUAACCAACAACAAAUUGUUCAUGGUUGGCUUCUCCAAGGAUUUGACAGCUAAUUUAUAAAACAAGUUAUUUUUAUAUAGUAAGACUUCUGUGACUAAAGUACAAUUGCUUCAACAAAAAUGCUCAGCAUUAUUCCCUAGUCUGUGGGGGAAUGAAUACACAGACCUUUAUUCUUCUCUCUUGAUCCCCUUUUCUUGCCUCUUUUUGCAAGAUUUCAGUUGGUCCUGACUCAUUGCCAGCAUAUGCCCUUGAAACAGUUACUAUGUUUGCUGGUAUAAAAGGUUAUGAAAUCUAUUUUAUGUCCUCAACCCAGAGUCCACACUGGAAAGCUCUCAAGCCAUAUUAUGGGAAACUUGGCAUACAGAUAAAACAAAAUUCCUAAGACUCUGUUACAGGAGAGUGAUGGUAUCUUCUCAGUCAGAACUGGCAUAUUUUGGGGAGCAGUUGGAAAUGGGGAGAAGGAGUUUUUUUGAACAGGUGGUGAAACAGAGCAGGACCCUAUGGUCCUCCCCACCACCCCCAUGUUUUCCACCUGCCUUUUGUCUAUAGAAAAACUUUAGUCAAAAAUAAGUUUAACCAAGAGUUCCCAUCGUGGCUCAGUGGUUAACAAACCCGACAAGUAUCCAUGAGGACUCGGGUUUGAUCCCUGGCCUCGCUGAGUGGGCUAAGGAUUCAGCGUUGCCGUGAGCUAUGGUGUAGGUUGCAGACGCGGCUUGGAUCCCCCAUUGUUGUGGCUGUGGUGUAGGCCUGCAGCUGCAGCUCCGAUUGGACCCCUAGCCUGGGAACCUCCAUAUGCCAUGG